This 931-nucleotide ribosomal RNA is filed under the name uncultured bacterium. Its description in RNAcentral is "bacterial SSU rRNA". It matches the Rfam family "Bacterial small subunit ribosomal RNA", at positions 33 to 958 of the family's 1533-position model. The record is from RNAcentral.
ACGCUAGCUACAGGCUUAACACAUGCAAGUCGAGGGCAGCAUGGAAGAAGCUUGCUUCUUCUGAUGGCGACCGGCGCACGGGUGCGUAACGCGUAUCAAACCUGCCUCAUACUCGGGGAUAGCCUUGCGAAAGUAAGAUUAAUACCCGAUGUUGUUGCUUUCUCGCAUGGGAGAGUAAUCAAAGAUUUAUCGGUAUGAGAUGGUGAUGCGUCCGAUUAGGUAGUAGGCGGGGUAACGGCCCACCUAGCCUUCGAUCGGUAGGGGUUCUGAGAGGAAGGUCCCCCACACUGGAACUGAGACACGGUCCAGACUCCUACGGGAGGCAGCAGUGAGGAAUAUUGGUCAAUGGGCGAGAGCCUGAACCAGCCAAGUAGCGUGCAGGAUGACGGCCCUCCGGGUUGUAAACUGCUUUUAGUUGGGAAUAAAAAAAGGGACUUGUCCCUUCUUGUAUGUACCUUCAGAAAAAGGACCGGCUAAUUCCGUGCCAGCAGCCGCGGUAAUACGGAAGGUCCAGGCGUUAUCCGGAUUUAUUGGGUUUAAAGGGAGCGUAGGCGGAUUGUUAAGUCAGCGGUUAAAGGGUGUGGCUCAACCAUGCAUUGCCGUUGAAACUGGCGAUCUUGAGUGCAGACAGGGAUGCCGGAAUUCGUGGUGUAGCGGUGAAAUGCUUAGAUAUCACGAAGAACUCCGAUCGCGAAGGCAGGUGUCCGGGCUGCAACUGACGCUGAGGCUCGAAAGUGUGGGUAUCAAACAGGAUUAGAUACCCUGGUAGUCCACACAGUAAACGAUGUAUACUCGCGGUUUGCGAUAGAUUGUAAGCCGCCAAGCGAAAGCAUUAAGUAUACCACCUGGGGAGUACGCCGGCUACGGUGAAACUCAAAGGAAUUGACGGGGGCCCGCACAAGCGGAGGAACAUGUGGUUUAAUUCGAUGAU